GAGAUCAGUCGAGUGAACAUCUCCGACACGGCAACUACUGCUGCGCACCAUUGGUAACCAACCUCCUUCUUCAUCGUUUAACCAGUUCGCAAUCACGGUUAACUAUGACGGCGUGCUGCUGUUGGGUGUUGUAUCGUUGAUGGCUGGAUCGACCAAUGGUGUACUGAUGUCUCCUGGUUAUAGCUGAUACCAAACCGCAAUGCCGCCGCCUAACUACACAACAACUUUAACGACCAGUUACAACACCGAGGCCUGGACCGAGACCCAUAAGUACUGCACCACUAAGUCACCGAAUUGCACCACCAAGUCAGCGAAAUACUACACGACUACGUAUCCUGCUUAUCUUACUACACCGAGGCUCCAGCUACUACACCGAGGCUCCAGCUACUACACCGAGGCUCCAGCUACUACACCGAGGCUCCAGCUACUACACCGAGGCUCCAGCUACUACACCGAGGCUCCAGCUACUACACCGAGGCUCCAGCUACUACACCGAGGCUCCAGCUACUACACCGAGGCUCCAGCUACACAACCACGACUGAUGCGGUCAUGGUUUACGUAGCCCCAACUUUCUACUCAACUGCUGCCCCUUCGUAUUGCGUUGAACCGAAAUACUGCACUGAAGCUUCAGUUUACUACACCGAAAAUCUGAAGUAUUACUCUGCUCAUAGUAUCUACACCACUAAGGCACCUGAAUAGUACACUAAGACAUACUCCAGAUUUCUAGAAGGAUUCUAAAUGCCAGAGCUGAUAUGAUGGAAAAUCUGUACACAUACAUAUACACAAUAUCAUAAUAGUUACUAAAGUCACUAGGAAUUGUUCUUUGAUGAGAAAAUAAAGUUUUUAAUUUGGGUAA
Molecule: long non-coding RNA, 856 nt
Filed under: Daphnia pulicaria
Lineage: Eukaryota; Metazoa; Arthropoda; Branchiopoda; Diplostraca; Daphniidae
Description: uncharacterized LOC124349152, transcript variant X1
Source: RNAcentral